GACAUUGCCAGAAAUUGCUCCGGGCACCGCCGGCAAAAUUCGGUUGAGGGAGAAAACAAGGGAAAAAAAGACGACGAAAAUGAGGGGAAGCCAAACAAGACCUUUAGGGCAGACUCGUGGGGUUUAUAUAGACCCCCCUGAUGGCCCGGAUCGAUGGGGUCGGUUUCCAUCCCCCGAUCGGGCUGCGCCACGUGGCGACCUCUGAGGCCGAGGCACUGCAUCCACUCCGGAUCAAUAAAUCGAAUACGAAAUCAAAGUGUUGUUCCAUCGGAUCUCGGGACCUCAUUAUGGGUCCACAGAAUCCCAUCGCCUCGAAGAAUGAGCGGACGGCACCCCCGCUCCCCUCGUUUAAUAAAAUCUGGGACACGUGGAGCCCCGGUGUGGCCUCCACUCCCCCGAAAUUAUGACCCGGUAACACGAAAUCGGAAGCGUCCAACCCCUGGUCAUGCCGCGUGUCCGUUUUGAAACCCAAAAUGGCACGCUCAUUGAUGAGCG
This 495-nucleotide long non-coding RNA is filed under the name Phoenix dactylifera (date palm). Its description in RNAcentral is "long non-coding RNA (PDAC_LNC022381)". Lineage: Eukaryota; Viridiplantae; Streptophyta; Magnoliopsida; Arecales; Arecaceae. The record is from RNAcentral.